Molecule: long non-coding RNA, 485 nt
Filed under: Lupinus angustifolius (narrow-leaved blue lupine)
Lineage: Eukaryota; Viridiplantae; Streptophyta; Magnoliopsida; Fabales; Fabaceae
Description: long non-coding RNA (LANG_LNC003424)
Source: RNAcentral
UUCUCUUCCACAAACACCAAAACCCUAUUUCACGUUUCACACACUUUCUCUCUGUUUUCUCUAUUCCUUCCCAACCCUAUUUCGCUGUUUCAUUUCUCCUACUUCAUAAAAAAAAACUCUCUUUUUUCUUCUUAUUCUUCUUCUUCCAACGCAUUCUCUUAUUGGCGGUUAUUCCUAAAACGCCAUCGUUUCACUCUUUUCUUCAUCAAUCACUGUCUCGCCAAUAGGGUUAGUUUCGUUGACAAUCUAAUUUCCCUAAAUUCCGCCUCUGAAAACCUAAGUUCUUGAAUACAUUUUCCUUAUUAAUAAAUCACGUGCGUAGUGUAGAGGAAGCUCUUCCUUCACAAUAUUGUCUUGUUUUCCAAGUUACGGGAGAAGAAUAGAGGAAACAGUGUCUAUUUUUGUUUGAUUUUGAAGGAUCCAAUUAGUUAAUCAUUGUUUUUUAAGCAAUUACAAGUUCGGCAAUUUGCUAUAAUUUGCAGAGG